Molecule: long non-coding RNA, 1454 nt
Filed under: Bemisia tabaci
Lineage: Eukaryota; Metazoa; Arthropoda; Insecta; Hemiptera; Aleyrodidae
Description: lncRNA ENSSSA1NGG009277
Source: RNAcentral
UAUGUUCAUGUUGAGGGUAGAGCCACGGCGGCCGUUGAAAGAAUUAAUAAUAAUGUUUCACGAGUCUACAAGAUCCGAUCGUCUUGAUAAUCUUUUAUGACACCUAUAAUCUAGUUAGGCAGCAGCCACCGCCUUUUUUUUACCCCUCUUGGUCGUCAACUUUUUAGGGGAGUUUUUUAGGAUUGGGCCGGAGUGGCUACCGCCGCCUAGAAUUGAGUGGUUUGGAGUACAAGGCGCAUUAGUGCAGUAUUUGCUAUUCGAGAAAUGUGUGUUUGAAGUUUCGAAAUUACGUGGAUCCUUAUGGCGGAAAGAAAGUUCAAACUGACUUAAAAAUCGGAAUUCAGGAGCGAAUUUUUCACAGAAAAUGUAUUAAGACUAGGUUUACCUGAAAUCAUUAAUAUCUCAAUUUUUUCAAAAAACUGCACUUAUGCUCCUUGUCCUCCAAGCUCCUUAAUUGGCCCUCCUUCAAUGAGAAGACUAAACAUAGAAAUUUUCAGAUGUAUAUUUACUUGCUUCUGCAGAACUCCUGGAACCCUGUCAUAUCCAGCUCCAUCUUGUACCAUCCAGUCGUCAACAUUGUUUUGUCUCGGUAGUGCAGUAAAUGCAUCCUUCACAAUUUCUGCGAACAAAUCAAUCGCAAGGUCCUUGAGGUGAAUGAAACACUCAUGAAUAUGGAGCGCUUCUCGGAGUGAAACUUUCAGAAAUCGCGAGAGGGGUUUUGUAUUUUUCUCUGAAAUUAUUUAUAAACGUCCAGUUUCCUCAUCCCACUCCGCUAGACCAUGAUGAGUUGUUUUCUGGAACUUUGAGUUUUUCUGUCGAGAAGCCCUUCGUAUCGAUUUGUUUUUCAAUUGAGGGGAGAUUUAAUUAUAGCUGGGCAGUUCUCGCUAACAUUUAUAAAUAUGCAGGAGUCAAAGGGUCACUUUUUAGUAUUGCUUCAUUCCCUGAGCGGGCACCAUGCUCUGUCUAUCUUACUUCUUCUUACCCAGCUGCAUACUAUCAGCGGCUGUCAUCAUAAAUGCAACUCGCAGUCACAUACCCGAGAGUUUGACCGAUGUUGAGGAAGAGGCUUCGCGCGAGAAGACAGAGGACACAAAUACUCUGGAAUCCUUAUCAGCAGCCCUUGGUAAUUCAAUUGAAGUAUCCUCUGACAUACCGUGCCACAUGGACGUCCAAGUGACAAAACGAGUGACCGGGCACUGUGUGAGUCUGGGACACGCUACUAGGGGCUGCAUCGCGGGAUCCUACUUGCACCCUUUCCACCACGAAUGUCUCGGAAAAUAAGCAUCCACCCCCAAAAUCACACCCCGUUCCCGAAAAUAACCUCGUGACCUUACUCAUCUCUCCGACAUAAUUAUCCUUUUUCUACUCCAUGUUAAUGAAUUUUGUUCCCUGUUUACGUUGCUAAGCUAUCAAUACAAUUUUUUGUUUUACACUUUUCUUAAUUCCUUGGUUUU